GCGGUCGUAGCUCAGUGGUAGAGCGCCACGUCGUGUCCCUGGAUGCGCCGGUUCAACUCCGGCCGAUCGCCC
This 72-nucleotide transfer RNA is filed under the name Actinoplanes cyaneus. RNAcentral's name for it is "tRNA-His". It matches the Rfam family "tRNA". Rfam says of the family: Transfer RNA (tRNA) molecules are approximately 80 nucleotides in length. Lineage: Bacteria; Bacillati; Actinomycetota; Actinomycetes; Micromonosporales; Micromonosporaceae. The record is from RNAcentral.